RNAcentral lists this ribosomal RNA (633 nucleotides) under uncultured fungus. RNAcentral's name for it is "eukaryotic LSU rRNA". The stretch from base 253 to 406 matches the Rfam family "5.8S ribosomal RNA". The record is from RNAcentral. Lineage: Eukaryota; Fungi.
AAGUCGUAACAAGGUUUCCGUAGGUGAACCUGCGGAAGGAUCAUUACAAAAUCCGGUGAGGCCACCUGGCACACAUCGUAUUCAUUCACUCUGAGUAUCUUUCCUGUUGCUUCCGUGGGGUUUGGCGAGUAGCACGCUCCUCCGCCUUGUUCUCUUGGGUGGAUUCCCGAGGACGCCCCGCGGAAGGGAAGCACCGCAACGCCUUUGAAUACCGAUAGAUUUUGGUCUGAUCUUGUUUUGAAGAAACAUUAAAACUUUCAGCAACGGAUCUCUUGGUUCUCGCAUCGAUGAAGAACGCAGCGAAAUGCGAAAAGUAGUGUGAAUUGCAGAAUUCAGUGAAUCAUCGAAUCUUUGAACGCACAUUGCGCCUCGCGGUAUUCCGCGAGGCAUGCCUGUUCGAGCGUCAUUAAAAACCGUUCAAGCCUUCAUUGCUUGGUUGUGGUGGAUGAGAACYGCCCCCAAGGUAUCUCACCUCCCAAACUAAAUGGCUGAGUACAAAAGCCGAGUUGCACAGAGCGUCGUAGGUGUUUGCACAGAUCCUCCUCAGUGCGCGGUGAAACUCUUGCCGAAUCAAYGUCGAGUAGUAUACUUCAGUUUGACCUCGGAUCAGGUAGGGAUACCCGCUGAACUUAA